Molecule: ribosomal RNA, 522 nt
Filed under: uncultured bacterium
Lineage: Bacteria
Description: bacterial SSU rRNA
Rfam family: Bacterial small subunit ribosomal RNA
Source: RNAcentral
AAUAGAUACCCCGGUAGUCCACGCCGUAAACGAUGAGUGCUAAGUGUUAGAGGGUUUCCGCCCUUUAGUGCUGCAGCUAACGCAUUAAGCACUCCGCCUGGGGAGUACGGUCGCAAGACUGAAACUCAAAGGAAUUGACGGGGGCCCGCACAAGCGGUGGGGCAUGUGGUUUAAUUCGAAGCAACGCGAAGAACCUUACCAGGUCUUGACAUCCUCUGACAACUCUAGAGAUAGAGCGUUCCCCUUCGGGGGACAGAGUGACAGGUGGUGCAUGGUUGUCGUCAGCUCGUGUCGUGAGAUGUUGGGUUAAGUCCCGCAACGAGCGCAACCCUUGAUCUUAGUUGCCAGCAUUCAGUUGGGCACUCUAAGGUGACUGCCGGUGACAAACCGGAGGAAGGUGGGGAUGACGUCAAAUCAUCAUGCCCCUUAUGACCUGGGCUACACACGUGCUACAAUGGAUGGUACAAAGGGCUGCAAGACCGCGAGGUCAAGCCAAUCCCAUAAAACCAUUCUCAGUUCGGA